AAGGAUCAUUAUUGAUUUUAUCUAUUUCUGUGGAUUUCUAUUCUAUUACAGCGUCAUUUUAUCUCAAUUAUAACUAUCAACAACGGGUCUCUUGGCUCUCACAUCGAUGAAGAACGCAGCGAACCGCGAUAUUUUUUGUGACUUGCAGAUGUGAAUCAUCAAUCUUUGAACGCACAUUGCGCGGUAUGGCAUUCCGUACCGCACGGAUGGAGGAGCGUGUUCCCUCUGGGAUCGCAUUGCUUUCUUGAAAUGGAUUUUUUUAAACUCUCAAUUAUUACGUCAUUUCACCUCCUUCAUCCGAGGUUACCCGCUGAACUUAAGCAUAUCAAUAAGCGGAGGAAAAGAAACCAACAGGGAUUGCCUCAGUAACGGCGAGUGAAGCGGCAAAAGCUCAAAUUUGAAACCCUCGGGAUUGUAAUUUGAAGAUUUGGCAUUGGAGAAAGCUAACCCAAGUUGCUUGGAAUAGUACGUCAUAGAGGGUGACAACCCCGUCUGGCUAACCGUUCUCCAUGUAUUGCCUUAUCAAAGAGUCGAGUUGUUUGGGAAUGCAGCUCAAAGUGGGUGGUAAACUCCAUCUAAAGCUAAAUACUGGUGAGAGACCGAUAGCGAACAAGUACUGUGAAGGAAAGGUGAAAAGAACUUUGAAAAGAGAGUGAAAUAGUAUGUGAAAUUGUUGAUAGGGAAGGAAAUGAGUGGAGAGUGGCCGAGGUUUCAGCCGCCCCUCGUGGGCGGUGUACUGCCGACGCCGAGUCAUCGAUAGCGAGACGAGGGUUACAAAUGGGAGCGCCUUUCGGGCAGUUCUCCCCUAACCCUCCACACUGCCACCGACGACAUAAUCCACCCAUUUCACCCGUCUUGAAACACGGACC
RNAcentral lists this ribosomal RNA (869 nucleotides) under Yarrowia lipolytica. RNAcentral describes it as "eukaryotic LSU rRNA". The stretch from base 284 to 869 matches the Rfam family "Eukaryotic large subunit ribosomal RNA", at positions 1 to 667 of the family's 3401-position model. The record is from RNAcentral. Lineage: Eukaryota; Fungi; Ascomycota; Dipodascomycetes; Dipodascales.